This 781-nucleotide long non-coding RNA is filed under the name Helianthus annuus (common sunflower). RNAcentral's name for it is "sRNA HanXRQr2_Chr16g0747051". The record is from RNAcentral. Lineage: Eukaryota; Viridiplantae; Streptophyta; Magnoliopsida; Asterales; Asteraceae.
CGACCAAGAAAAUACAUAUUACAAACUACAACCCGAAUCCGAAAACAUACAAAUCGGAUCCCUCAUCCCGGUCCCCGCAUCUUCUCAACCAUAUGUCUCCCUUUCUCUUCAAUAUUCCGUCUCUUUUCUUCGAGUUUCUCCCCCAUUUUCUUCCGAAACCCUAACAUCUUCGCCCUCGUUCCCGAUCUCUUCAACUUAUUCUCAUCCGCCGUCUCCUUAUUCUCUUCCGCCACCGCCGCCUGAGGCGGUGACGGAGGUUGCGAACUCGGAAACCCAACGUUUUCUUCCACUACUGCCGCAUUUUGUUCCGUGCUUUCUAACAACGGCGUUUUCUCAUCAUUUUCAGUCGGUUUUUCAUCAUCAUCUGAUGAUGUUUGAUUGUGUGUGGUUUCUGUUGUACUACUGACGUCUUGUGGAUGAAUUUCGUCAGGAGGUUGGGGACAGGGGACCUCGUGUGAGAUUGUUGGUUCUGUGGGGGGCUCGGGGUUGAGUUCCGGGUUGGCCCAGAUAAAUGGUGCAGAUUGUUGUGGGAUCCAAUCAUUCUUUUCGGCUAACAUGAAAUGAACUGUUGCACUUUCGCAGUUGGGGAGAACCAUGGUUUCACGAAUGGCUCCCUGUGGAAGUUAUUCAUUAGAAAGUAUCCGACACUAUGAACAUGUCAUAUCUAUGGCUAUGUAGUUAUAGCGGUCCAAAAUCAAAUAGCGGUCAAGGAGUGAUAUUUGAGGUAUAGGUUAUCGCGGUGGGAAUGGGAUAAUAGGAUAUCGGUAAUUAUAAUAUCAAG